RNAcentral lists this ribosomal RNA (500 nucleotides) under uncultured bacterium. Its description in RNAcentral is "partial 16S ribosomal RNA". It matches the Rfam family "Bacterial small subunit ribosomal RNA", at positions 30 to 523 of the family's 1533-position model. The record is from RNAcentral.
AUUGAACGCUGGCGGAAUGCUUUACACAUGCAAGUCGAACGGCAGCACGGACUUCGGUCUGGUGGCGAGUGGCGAACGGGUGAGUAAUACAUCGGAACGUGCCCAAUCGUGGGGGAUAACGUAGCGAAAGCUACGCUAAUACCGCAUACGAUCUAAGGAUGAAAGCGGGGGAUCGCAAGACCUCGCGCGAUUGGAGCGGCCGAUGGCAGAUUAGGUAGUUGGUAGGGUAAAGGCCUACCAAGCCGACGAUCUGUAGCUGGUCUGGGAGGAUGAUCAGCCACACUGGGACUGAGACACGGCCCAGACUCCUACGGGAGGCAGCAGUGGGGAAUUUUGGACAAUGGACGCAAGUCUGAUCCAGCCAUUCCGCGUGCAGGAUGAAGGCCCUCGGGUUGUAAACUGCUUUUGUACAGAACGAAAAGGCUCUGGUUACUACCUAGGGCUCAUGACGGUACUGUAAGAAUAAGCACCGGCUAACUACGUGCCAGCAGCCGCGGUAA